CGCGGCCUAUCAGCUUGUUGGUGAGGUAACGGCUCACCAAGGCGAAGAUGCCUAGCUGGUGUGAGAGCAUGACCAGCGCCACUGGGACUGAGACACUGCCCAGACUCCUACGGGAGGCUGCAGUCGAGAAUCUUCCGCAAUGGACGAAAGUCUGACGGAGCGACGCCGCGUGCGGGAUGAAGGCCUUCGGGUUGUAAACCGCUGUCAGGGGAAACAAUCACUGAGUGAUCCCCAGAGGAAGCACGGGCUAAGUUCGUGCCAGCAGCCGCGGUAAGACGAACCGUGCGAACGUUGUUCGGAAUCACUGGGCUUAAAGGGCGCGUAGGCGGGUGGUCAAGUCAGCGGUGAAAGCCUCCAGCUCAACUGGAGAAGUGCCCCUGAUACUGACCGUCUUGAGGGAGGUAGGGGCAGAUGGAACUUCCAGUGGAGCGGUGAAAUGUGUUGAUAUUGGAAGGAACGCCGGUGGCGAAAGCGAUCUGCUGGACCUCUUCUGACGCUGAGGCGCGAAAGCUAGGGUAGCGAACGGGAUUAGAUACCCCGGUAGUCCUGGCCGUAAACGAUGGGCACUAGCUAGGGGUCUCCCUGUGGGAUCCCUGGUGAAGCAAAUGUGAUAAGUGCCCCGCCUGGGGAGUACGG
Molecule: ribosomal RNA, 636 nt
Filed under: uncultured bacterium
Lineage: Bacteria
Description: bacterial SSU rRNA
Rfam family: Bacterial small subunit ribosomal RNA
Source: RNAcentral